RNAcentral lists this ribosomal RNA (361 nucleotides) under uncultured bacterium. RNAcentral describes it as "bacterial SSU rRNA". It matches the Rfam family "Bacterial small subunit ribosomal RNA", at positions 30 to 400 of the family's 1533-position model. The record is from RNAcentral.
AAUGAACGCUGGCGAUAUGCUUAACACAUGCAAGUUGAAUGAAUAAGAUUCAUAGCAAACGGGUGAGUAAGACAUAAGAAUUUUGCCUGCAGCAUCCAUCAAAAUACUAAAAUAUUGAAUGUGGAAUAUUUAAAGGAUGACACCACCUGUAAGGAAGAUGCAGGUGCGAUAUGUUAUCGGCUGUAGAUAAGCUUAUGUAGGAUAGGUAGUUGGAGUGGUAAGGCACACCAAGCCAAUGAUCCUUAGUUGGUUUGAGAGAACGACCAGCCACAUUGGAACUGAGAUACGGUCCAAGCUGGGAUAUCUAGGCAGCAGUGGGGAAUAUUGGACAAUGGACGAAAGUUUGAUCCAGCAAUAUCGC